Non-coding RNA from Manis javanica (Malayan pangolin), 5213 nucleotides. Lineage: Eukaryota; Metazoa; Chordata; Mammalia; Pholidota; Manidae. The record is from RefSeq and is a predicted model, not a curated record.
ACGUGGUGCUGAGCGGCCUGCUGGAGAAGUGCUGCCGGCCGAGGGCCGGGUGCGCAGGCUGGCGGGCCAGGCGCGGAGUCUGCAGCGUCAGCAGCAGCCCAAGGCCGCGCUGCUCAGGUGCGGCCAAGCCCUGGACCUGGGAAAAUGCCAACAACUAACACCGUAGAGGCGCACAACGGAGGCCUUGGGACAUGGCAGGAUGUGCUUUGAAGGAAUUCAGGAAAGAUUCCCUUCCACUGCUUUUAUUACUUCAUACUGUCAGGCUCCGUUUCCUCUCAAAAAAAAAAAAAAAAAGGUGCUAUGGUGUAAUUAGCUUAUUAGUUAUGCUAACCAGUGCUGUGACCUUUUAAUUUUUAAAUUUUUUGUAAAUGGAAGUCUAUAAGGAACUCCCUCCUUGCGUCCUCCCCAACCUCCACCACCUGUUAAGAAUACAUAAUUUAAAGGAAGACCAAACUUUCAGCCAAUGAUUUCGGCUCCCAAAGAGUGUGCUUUAUUGACAAUUGUUUUGGGGAGAGAAGUGUGUGUGUGUGGAGGGUGAUUUGUUUUCUGAAUUCACUGGCUUUGUCACGGUGUAUAGAUGAUUUAAAUCACUAGUAAAGACGACUUGGCUUAAUCUUUCGUUAUUAAGAGUCUUCUUGUGUGCUAUAGUCAGAAUGUAUUUUAUUUUAAAUUUAGGGGUAAGGUUUUCUCUUUUAGAAGGCAUACCUGUAUCUAAGUUGGGAGAUUUCUCUGCUGGAGUAAGCAGUUAAAUUGCUUUAUAUAACAGGUACUCUGUACUAUUUUUACAACCAACAUAUUCACACUUUAACAGGCUGUGUGUUUUUGAGUUUCCUACUAUUUUGUUUAUGACAGUGUGGUGUGGAGCCUCCUUGUCCAGAAGAAAUAUUGUGUAAGCCACACAUAUAAUUUAAAAUUUUUUCUGGUAGCUAAAUGUAAGUGGUUGGAAGGAAGCAGGUGAAAUUAAUCUUAAUGAUUUUUAACCUUACACAUUCAAGGUGUUAUUAUUUCAGCAUACCUUCAUUUAAAAAGAAAGACUGAGAUUUCACUGCCUUUAAAGAAAAAAACUAUCUUUGAAAUCCAUUGUGUAUUUUACAUUUACUGUCUACCUCAAUUUGGACACUGAAUUUUCAUCAGAAACACUUAUGCUACACUUAGAUUCCAUGAAAUGUAGAGUUGAAAAAAUAAACUCACUUUGUGAAGUUGUUUCAAAUUAGGUUUUCCACUGACUGAACAGAGUCUCUGUUUUUUAAACUUUGGUUUCAAAUAAUUAAAAUUACAUAGGAUGAAUAACUUAGUUCCUUGUUGUUCUAGCCCCUUCUCAAGUGCCCUGUAGCCACAUGUGGCUAGUGGCUACUGUGUCAGACAGUACAAGUAUGGAACUUUUCAAAACUUUGCUGGAAAUGUAAAAGAUCACAGUACCAGCUGUUGGAGAUGUAUAACACGAGAACUACCGUAUGCUGCUGAUGGGUCUGCAAAUUAUACCCCUGGAAAAUUGUUUGGUAGUAUCUGAAAAUGUUAAAUAUGACCUUUGGCCAAGUACUUUCAAUGAGGCACGUGCAUAUGUGCACUGAAGGCAUGUAUAAGAAUAUACAAGCGUGUGUAUCAUUAUUAGAGAUAGCCCCAAAGUAGAAAGAACCCAAAUGCCCAAUAAUAGCUGAAUGAAUGGGUAAGUAUAUUAUGAUGCCUUUUGGAAUACAGACAGAAAAUAAACCACCUGGUUGCACACUGUAUUGUGGAUGAAUUGCAGACAUAAUGUUAAGAGAAAGAAGCCAGACUCAAAAGCAUUUUUACUGUAUGAUUCUAUUUAUCUGUAAGUCCAAACAGGCAAAAUUACUACGGCCUGUUAGAAGUAAGGGCAGUGGUUACCUUUGGGGGAGAAAACAGAGAAUGUGAAUUGUGAGGAAGUAGGAGGAGGACCUGAGUGGCAGUAGUGAUGUUAUGUUUAUUGACCUAGAAGAUGGCUUCAUAGGUAUGUUCACUUUGUGAUAGUUCAUUGAACACUAAAUUUAUAAUUUGUGGCUUUUCUGUGUGUAUAUUAGACCUCAGUUUAAAAGUCGUAAACAAAUUUUUGCAGUCAGCUCAUCUUGAGAACUUACAUUCAGUAUGCUCAGUAUUCAUUUUCCUUUCAAAGAUUAGAAAAGAAAGGCAAAGUUCUCUAGUUUAAAAUUUAUGGAAUGUUUUUCAUACUAAAUUAGCCCCCAAAAAGGGCUUGAUAUAGUAAAAAAGGUUACAGGUUUUUGUUGGUUUUUUUUUUUGACUUCAGAAAUACUUGUGUUUAGAUCUGAGCCCUGAUAUGUACUUAUUAUGUGACCUUAGUCAAGUGUGGUAAUCAUUAAUGCAAUUCCCCAAGUAUUUCUAUCUUAUACCUUCCCCAAACAAGGUAGGAUUGCAUUCUUGGACUCAUUAUGGUUGGGUGGAGCCUUGUGACUAAUUUUGGUCUGUAAGUUGUGAGUAGGAUUCAAAAUAACUAAUAAACAUGUUAAAGAAAACAGAAAUAUGUGUAUGAAAAAUAAAGAAUUCAAUAGAUAGCCAUCUGUAAAAAAGAACCAAAUGGGUAUUUUAGAACUCUCAACAUCUGAAGUUGAGAACUAAUUAGAUGGAUUAAAACUGAGUAGACACAUAUGUGAGAUACAGACAAAAGUUCUAAAAUCUGUGAAAUUUGAAUCUCAGAAGAGGGGAGAGGGAAAAAAGCAAGAGAAAUAUUUGAAGAAAAAUGGUUGAGAAUUUUCCAAAUUUGACAAGAAACUUUAAGCAGUUCAGUUAAGCCCAAAGGGAUAAAUACAAACACUCACAGGAUAAACACACUAGCAGGAUAAACAAAACAUACCGAAGCAUGUUAUAGUCAAGUUUCUGAAAAUAAAGAGAAAUAUAAAAGCAGUUAGAGAACACAGGACAUUUUCCUUCAAAGGAGCUAUAAUAAGACUGAAAGCUGAUUUUUUUAAAAAAAACAUUAAAACUAGAAGAUAAUGGAAUAACAUCUUCAAAGUGCUGAAAGGUGGUAGGUAGGAAGAGCUUACCUGGAAUUCUUUACCCAGUUGCAAAUAUCUUUAAGAAUUGAAGACAAAAAUAUAGAUGUUUUAUCCAAAUAAAUAAAUAAAGGCAAAGGACUUUUAUUGCCAUCAGAAUUGUACUACAUGAAAUACAGGGGAAUUCUUUAGGCUAGAGGAAAAUGUCCAGAUGGAGGCAUACCACUAAAGGAAGGAAUGAAGACCCAUAAAAAGGGUAAAUAUAUGAAUAAAUGUAAGAUAAUAUUGAUUAUUUCAAACCAUAACAAUAAUAUUUUGUUGUAUUUAUAACAUAGGUAAAAGUAAAACAUGGCAAUAGCACAAAGUCAGGUUGAGUAAAUAAAGUAAAUGGUUUUAUGGUCUGUGUAUCUUUUUGGAUGUGGUAAAAGUACUAAUUUAAAGUUACUGAUAAAUCAACUUUGCACAUUUCAAUCUCUUGGGUAGCCACUGAAAGGAUAAUGAAAGCUAAAAUUACAAAGCUAUGGUGGAAUAAUUAAGAAAUACUUGAUUUCUUCCAAAAGAAAGUAAAAAGGAAGAAUAAAAUGAUAGUGAAUAAAUGAAAUGAUUAGAAAAGAAAUUAAAAAAUGGGACUUACCUUGCAUUCAAUGUACAUAUACAUUUAGGUAUUCCACUUAAAAUUCAACUAUUGGCAGACUAGAUUAAACAAAACAGUUACAUGAGAUACACAUGAGAUAAACCUUAGAUAGAAUGACACAAAAGGGUGGAAAUUAAUAGGAUGGGAAAAGAUGCUCUACAAAGACUGUCCAAAAGAAAUAUGAUAUGGCAACAUUGCUAUGGGAUGAGGUAGUCUCUAGGGCAAGGGGCAUCAUGAGAGAUGGGAAUAUUGUGACAAAGAGGUCAAUUCAACAGAAAAUAUGUAACAUUCCUAAGUAUGUAUGACUCUAAAAUCAGGUGUGUACAAGCACACAGAGCAAAAGGUGACAAAACUAAAAAGAGAGAUAUUUGGAGAGUUUGAAUAAAAGUCUUAGUAGCUAAUAAAAUAAGUAUAGAAAAAUAAGGAUAUAGAUUGAGACAACAUACUUCAGCACAUUGAUUUAAUUAAUGUAUGGCACUGCAUACAAUGAUGGAAUAUGCCAUCUGUCAGGAUCACAUGAUGACAAGCAGGUAGACUUGGCCUCUGGUUAUAUUUGCCAACCCUUUGGUUAGGCCAUAAAACAAAUAGCAACAAAUAUUAAGAUUAAAUCAGACCGUAUAUGUUCCUUAAACACUGUGGACUUGAACUAAUAUUCAGUAGCAAAUAACUAGAAUAUUUUCAAAUAUUUUGAAAUAAAGCAAUACAUUUUUGUAUAAUAUAUAGGUCAAGUAAGAAUUCACAAUGAAAUUAGAAAAUAUUUUAGCUGAAUUAUAAUGAAAAUAUAAGUAUCAAAACUGAGAUGCCACUGCAAUAGUGUUUAGAGGGAAAUGUAUUGCUUAACAUGCCCGUGCCACAAAAGAACAGUUGGGAAUUGGUGAUCUUCAGGCUUCUGUUUCAAGAUUCCAGAGGACUAUAAGCAAAUUGAGUCCAGAGGAAGUAGAAAUAAGGAAAUAAAGGUAAGAGGAAAAAAAUGACAAUAAAGGAAAAAUACAGUCCAGCAUUUCUUAUGACCAUACAUGCAGAAAUCCUAAAACAAAAAUAUUAGUAAACUGAGUCCAGUGAGACACUUAAAGAACAGAACAUUGUGAUUAAGUCGAAUGUUACUGUGUUUAAUCAUUGUAAGUCAACCAGUGUAAUUCACUGUAACCACAGAAUAAAGGAGAAAAUCAUAUGACCUGUGUUAAAAUCUCUGAGAAAACUAGGAAAAAAAGGAAACUUUCUCAGUAUGUUAACAAGUAUCUACAAAAAUCUAUUCCAACCGUCAUGACUGAAGAUGAAAUAUUAAAUGUUUUCCUGCUGAAGCAAAAGGUGACAAGGGUGUUCUCUGUCAUCACUGCCAUUCAACAUUGUACUGAAGAUCCUAGCUAAUGCAGUGAGGAGAAAAGAAAAAAGAAGAUUGGAAAAAUACAAGAAGCCUGUUGCUAUUUGUAGAUGACAUGUUGCAGUACAUAGAAACUCCACAGGAAUAUUUGAACUAUCAGAAAUUAUAAAGGAAUUAUCAAGAUUGUUGAAUAUAAAGUCACUAUAAAAAGAUCAAUGAUUACCAUAUAUUUAGCAAAAAAUAAAUAGAAAACAAAAAUUUAAAACAACCCCUUCAUAUAACAAAAAAAAAA